Molecule: ribosomal RNA, 253 nt
Filed under: uncultured bacterium
Lineage: Bacteria
Description: partial 16S ribosomal RNA
Rfam family: Bacterial small subunit ribosomal RNA
Source: RNAcentral
UACGUAGGGGGCAAGCGUUGUCCGGAUUUAUUGGGCGUAAAGCGCGCGUAGGCGGCCCGGUAAGUCCGUUGUGAAAGUCAAAGGCUCAACCUUUGAAUGCCGAUGGAUACUGCCGGGCUCGAGUCCGGAAGAGGCGAGUGGAAUUCCUGGUGUAGCGGUGGAAUGCGCAGAUAUCAGGAGGAACACCGAUAGCGAAGGCAGCUCGCUGGGACGGUACUGACGCUGAGGCGCGAAAGCGUGGGGAGCGAACAGG